UAUAUCUAUUUCCUCCCUUUUUGCUAUGUCCCAGUGUGGCUGUAUGGAGAUGUGCACAAAGGCAGUCUUCAGUGAUGCAAUUGAGAUGUAAAGGUCACUGCCUGCAAAAUUUCUCUGUCCUGUGGAGAAUAAUUCAAAUACCAACCUUGGAGGUGCUUGGAGCAUCUCCAGUUCAGCUCUUCCACUGUUCUUGAAAAGAAAGAUCUUCUGCUGUUUGUCCUUUGGAAUAUAGAAAAAAACAGCUAGAGCCCCAAAAUGGCUUUUUUUGCACCUGCCUGCUGCCUCUCUGUCUCUUCCAGCUGAAAAGGAAGACUCCUAGAGCCCAUUGCCAUGUCCCC
Poecile atricapillus (Black-capped chickadee) is the source of this 338-nucleotide long non-coding RNA. RefSeq lists it as uncharacterized. Lineage: Eukaryota; Metazoa; Chordata; Aves; Passeriformes; Paridae. The record is from RefSeq and is a predicted model, not a curated record. The transcript is spliced from 3 exons.